GAUGAAGAACGUAGCGAAAUGCGAUACGUAAUGUGAAUUGCAGAAUUCAGUGAAUCAUCGAAUCUUUGAACGCAUAUUGCGCUCUUUGGUAUUCCGAAGAGCAUGCUUGUUUGAGUAUCAGUAAACACCUCAAAGCUUUUGGAUUUUUUAAUCGAAAAGCUUUGGACUUGAGCAAUCCCAACACCAAUCUUUUUGAGAUCGGUGGCGGGUUGCUUGAAAUGCAGGUGCAGCUGGACAUUCUCGUGAGCUAAAAGCAUAUUCAUUUAGUCCCGUCAAACGGAUUAUUACUUUUGCUGCAGCUAACAUAAGGGGAGUUUGACCGUAUUGGCUGACUGAUGCAGGAUUUCACAAGGGUCGGCAACGAUUCUUGUUAAACUCGAUCUCAAAUCAAGUAAGACUACCCGCUGAACUUAAGCAUAUCAAUAAGCGGAGGA
This 434-nucleotide unclassified non-coding RNA is filed under the name soil metagenome. RNAcentral describes it as "partial contains 5.8S ribosomal RNA, internal transcribed spacer 2, and large subunit ribosomal RNA". The stretch from base 1 to 120 matches the Rfam family "5.8S ribosomal RNA", at positions 35 to 154 of the family's 154-position model. The record is from RNAcentral.